Non-coding RNA from Triticum aestivum (bread wheat), 99 nucleotides. NCBI's taxonomy places the organism in Eukaryota, Viridiplantae, Streptophyta, Magnoliopsida, Poales, Poaceae. The record is from Rfam.
UCGAUGCAGAUGAGGAGACACAAGUAUAUGGGUAAUUUACGUCUUGAGGCAGUUGUGUGAUGCCACACUGUUUUUGACCUUGGAGAUGUGAUGCAUCCC